Molecule: long non-coding RNA, 169 nt
Filed under: Dromaius novaehollandiae (emu)
Lineage: Eukaryota; Metazoa; Chordata; Aves; Casuariiformes; Dromaiidae
Description: lncRNA (ENSDNVG00000016636.1)
Source: RNAcentral
AAUUGAUUUCAGCAUCUUCUCAUGCAUUAAUUUAAUCAGCUUUGGAAAGAACCAAGGCCUUAUCGUAUUCAAGUAGGAAAAACCUAAAAAUGCUGCUUCCAUCAUACCUAUGAAGAAAGUGAAUAAGCUUCCUGUUACUACUGGACGCUGGAAGUUUCCCUGCACCCGC